Long non-coding RNA from Helicoverpa armigera (cotton bollworm), 1147 nucleotides. RefSeq lists it as uncharacterized. The record is from RefSeq and is a predicted model, not a curated record. Lineage: Eukaryota; Metazoa; Arthropoda; Insecta; Lepidoptera; Noctuidae. The transcript has 2 exons.
CAAACAGUUGUGUCACGCUACGACGCACACUAUAAUCAAUGCUAUGACAAUAAUCUAAUAACUACACAGCACAAGUGCAAAAACUGUGACCAUAUAUUCUUCAAGGUCUGCACAUAAACAAAGUUAUUGUUAAAUAAUGUUUUACUUUGAUUCUAAAUGUAGUAAUCUGCACUAGGUUGAGGUAAUUCUAGGAAGCUAUCAAGUCGGGUCGUGUGGAUGCGAUCGUGCGCGCCUUCGCUCGGCCCGAGGGCGCGACCCUUUAUGCCCUGACGGUUUGUAUAGCGGAGUCGUCAUGCCACUUCCUAUAUCUCCAACGCCAUUAGAUAAUCUAUAGUAUGCAAAAAAUAUCGCUUCUAAUGUGUCCACAUACCUAAGUGUUUUCCUACACGCCCACUUUACGACACAAUAUUAUAUAGGUACUUACGUAAGUAACAUACUACGAUAGCACAUAGUGCCUGUUCCAGACUUAGACCCUCUUAUUAUAAAACGCGGUAUCAAAUAAGUAUCGGCUUUUGUACUACCUUUAAUCCAGCUGUAAGUACGACCUUGAAAAAACGUUAUUACAAAACGCAGUUUAUCGCAAGUCCUAUUACUAUCUGUAGUACAAAAGAUAAACCAUCGAGCCCCCUAGUUUAACUGCAGUACUUAGUCGACAAACGUCAAAUUCCGACAUUAUUUACUUUUGAGGUUAUUUGUUUUGUGAUGAAAAAAACGAAAGUGGAUAUAAAUAUGUGUGAUUUGGAAUACUUGGAUGUGUUAGAAUACUAUUGAGAGUGUCCGGGGACCCAACAGUGUGCGUCAUCGACAAAAUCUCUUCAAAUUAUCUGACGACAAUUUUCGAUAUAAAUAUCGAUUUAUGUUUUUCGAAAUAAUAGUCAAUUGAAUGCAUGAUGAUAAUCCAUGAUGAUCCUAAUGAUGCUCAACUGGGCUCGCCAUAAGAUUCAAGACUAAUUUGGCGUUUUGCACGCCGUAUCUUUGCCAGUAAUAUGCAAUGUUUGUAAAAGACUGGAAGCUUGCUAAAAUGUAGGUACAAAAAUGCCAAGAUGAGCAAGGGAACAAGAUUGUGUGAUGAAGAACAGUGUCCAACAUGUAUCAGUGCGUUUGACUGUAUAAAUAGACAUCGGAAUAAAAUAUAAUUUUGUACUUU